Molecule: ribosomal RNA, 253 nt
Filed under: uncultured bacterium
Lineage: Bacteria
Description: partial 16S ribosomal RNA
Rfam family: Bacterial small subunit ribosomal RNA
Source: RNAcentral
UACGAAGGGUGCAAGCGUUAAUCGGAAUUACUGGGCGUAAAGCGUGCGUAGGUGGUUUGUUAAGUCUGCUGUGAAAGCCCUGGGCUCAACCUGGGAAUGGCGGUGGAUACUGACAAGCUAGAGUGCGGUAGAGGAGGGUGGAAUUCCCGGUGUAGCGGUGAAAUGCGUAGAGAUCGGGAGGAACAUCAGUGGCGAAGGCGGCCCUCUGGACCAGCACUGACGCUGAGGCACGAAAGCGUGGGGAGCAAACAGG